Molecule: unclassified non-coding RNA, 367 nt
Filed under: uncultured bacterium
Lineage: Bacteria
Description: contains 16S-23S intergenic spacer region
Source: RNAcentral
UCCAAGUUACCUUGGCAGUCUAUUUAGAGUUCUCAACUAAAUGGUAGCAACUAAAUAUGAGGGUUGCGUUCGUUCUAACACUUAAGUAUACGCUUCACAGCACGAACUGACGACGACCAUGCACCACCUGUGUCGGGAUAACCUCCGUUGAGUUUCCUCAACUUUGCCCUCCAUGUCAAACCUUGGUAAGGUUUUGCGCGUCGUAUCGAAUUAAACCACAUGCUCCACCGCUUGUGCGGGUCCCCGUCAAUUCCUUUGAGUUUUAGCCUUGCGACCGUAGUACCCAGGCGGAGCAUUUAAAGCGUUAACUGCGACACUAAGCAUAAUUGCCCAAUAUCUAAUGCUCAUCGUUUAGGGCAUGGACUAC